GAUGAAGAACGUAGCGAAAUGCGAUACUUGGUGUGAAUUGCAGAAUCCCGUGAACCAUCGAGUCUUUGAACGCAAGUUGCGCCCGAAGCCAUCAGGUUGAGGGCACGUCUGCCUGGGCGUCACAUAUCGUUGCCCAAUGCCUAUUGCAGUGCAAUAGGAAUUUCUAGGGCGAAUGAUGGCUUCCCGUGAGCGUUGUUGCCUCGCGGUUGGUUGAAAAUCGAGUCCUUGGUAGGGUGUGCCAUGGUAGAUGGUGGUCGAGUUAGAACGAUACCGAUCAUGUGCAUGCUCCCCAAAAUAUGGCCUCUAUGACCCACACGCGUCUUUUGACGCUCAUGACGAGACCUCAGGUCAGGCGGGGCUACCCGCUGAAUUUAAGAAUAUCAAUAAGCGAGGA
Molecule: unclassified non-coding RNA, 394 nt
Filed under: soil metagenome
Description: partial contains 5.8S ribosomal RNA, internal transcribed spacer 2, and large subunit ribosomal RNA
Rfam family: 5.8S ribosomal RNA (bases 1-122)
Source: RNAcentral